This 465-nucleotide ribosomal RNA is filed under the name Vreelandella stevensii. Its description in RNAcentral is "partial 16S ribosomal RNA". It matches the Rfam family "Bacterial small subunit ribosomal RNA", at positions 338 to 795 of the family's 1533-position model. The record is from RNAcentral. Lineage: Bacteria; Pseudomonadati; Pseudomonadota; Gammaproteobacteria; Oceanospirillales; Halomonadaceae.
CCUACGGGAGGCAGCAGUGGGGAAUAUUGGACAAUGGGCGAAAGCCUGAUCCAGCCAUGCCGCGUGUGUGAAGAAGGCCUUCGGGUUGUAAAGCACUUUCAGUGGGGAAGAAAGCCUUGGGGCUAAUACCCUCGAGGAAGGACAUCACCCACAGAAUAAGCACCGGCUAACUCCGUGCCAGCAGCCGCGGUAAUACGGAGGGUGCGAGCGUUAAUCGGAAUUACUGGGCGUAAAGCGCGCGUAGGCGGUCUGAUAAGCCGGUUGUGAAAGCCCCGGGCUCAACCUGGGAACGGCAUCCGGAACUGUCAGGCUAGAGUGCGGCAGAGGAAGGUAGAAUUCCCGGUGUAGCAGUGAAAUGCGUAGAGAUCGGGAGGAAUACCAGUGGCGAAGGCGGCCUUCUGGACUGACACUGACGCUGAGGUGCGAAAGCGUGGGUAGCAAACAGGAUUAGAUACCCCAGUAGUC